AACGAACGCUGGCGGCAUGCCUAACACAUGCAAGUCGAACGAGACCUUCGGGCUUAGUGGCGCACGGGUGCGUAACGCGGGGGAACCUGCCCUUAAGUUCGGAAUAACUCCCCGAAUGGGGUCCUAAUACCGGAGAAUGUCUUCCGACCAAAGAUUUAUCGCCGUUGGAUGGGCCCGGGUUGGCUUAGCUAGUUGGUAGGGUAAAAGCCUACCAAUGCGACGAUCCAUAGCUGGUGUGAGAGGAUGAUCAGCCACACUGGUACUGAGACACGGCCCAGACUCCUACGGGAAGGAGCAGUGGGGAAUAUUGGACGAUGGGCGAAAGCCUGAUCCAGCAAUGCCGCGUGAGUGAUGAAGGCCGUAGGGUUGUAAAGCUCUUUUACCCGGGAUGAUAAUGACGGUACCGGGAGAAUAAGCACCGGCUAACUCCGUG
This 433-nucleotide ribosomal RNA is filed under the name uncultured bacterium. RNAcentral describes it as "partial 16S ribosomal RNA". It matches the Rfam family "Bacterial small subunit ribosomal RNA", at positions 29 to 507 of the family's 1533-position model. The record is from RNAcentral.